Oncorhynchus gorbuscha (pink salmon) is the source of this 3057-nucleotide long non-coding RNA. RefSeq lists it as uncharacterized. The transcript has 3 exons. Lineage: Eukaryota; Metazoa; Chordata; Actinopteri; Salmoniformes; Salmonidae. The record is from RefSeq and is a predicted model, not a curated record.
GUGAUUACACAGCGCCCUUCGGGGCUGCUGGGAUCUGUUGCUAAACCUUUUGCAACAGAAACAGUUAAUUCCAAACGGAAAACCAGAGUUUCUAUUGAACAAAUUCAGUUCUGGAUUGGAAUGCUUCCGCUGUCUGCCAAUCAGAGGCCCGGGGAUCAGUCUGAUGGCUCCUUUCUCCACGGAAUCAUCCUCUCAGCUCUACGGAGGAGUGUUUAAGCCGGCCAUGAUUUGAUUCAACAUGAAGAGGAACAAACCCCAAGGGGAGGAGGAGGUAUAUAAAUAAUAUUAACAAAGACGUGAUAUGAAGGCAGAACAAAAAAAGACCAUGACCCUUUUGUUAUGAGAGGAAACACAUGACAUGAUGAAAUAAGAAAGGUCUAGAACAAUACGUAGAGCAUAUAAUGUGUCAUGCCCUCUUACAAAUCAAGUAUCCCUUGAGAAAAGGAAUAUCAGUCCAUAAUGUAUCUUGUCUAAUUUUCACUGACAUCUUUGGAAAACAUUGAGAAGAUCAACUGAGGAAUCAGUACAGUUACAGCACUAAGACUCAAAGUAAGGAGACUGGGGGACUAAGCUACAACAACUCCAGUCACAGCUAUAAGCCAUUGAUAUUUGUAUAAAAAGAUGCAACUAACUGAAGCAUUGACUAAGCAGUUAGCAGAGUUACCAGCAUGUCCCACAGACUUACACUGCAUCUGAGAGCUGGUCUGGAGCUUUCUCCUCCGCAGGACAGGAGAGAACACCCAGGUUCUCCCUGCAAGCUGACAGCAUCCCCACAGAGAGAUGGGAGACACCAGAGAGGGCAGAGGAGAGGGGUGAAAAGGAUGGAGGGACAGACAAAUGAGACAAAGCUGGAACAUGGAGAGAAAUUAAAAAGGUUAAGUAUAGAGGUGAUAGAAGAGAUGAUUUCUGGUUUGACUGUGUUACGGUGAAGGGUGACGAAAUUAAAUGUCAAUCAGCCAUGAUGAUGAAUAAGUCAGGUGCUUUCUUUCACUCUCUCACUCUCCUCUCUCCACCUUGAAGGCGUCAGCAUGCCUCAGUUCGGCUGGCGCCUAGCUAAACAAGUGUGCUCACAUACUCCCUUAAAACACCUUCGCUUGAAAAACUAGGGGGGAAAAGCACUAAUAGUACUAUGCCCAAAAUACAACGUAUACAUGCAGUGGACACUAUAUCCGUGCUUUAGGGCCCAUAAUGCAAUUCCUCGAAAAAUGGGCUUCACAAGUUUUCAGAUUUGAAGACAAAUGGAGGAAAAUAUGCAGCCGAAGUCCGACGAGAGUGGAUACAAAUUCAUUGCUUUAACUAAUUAUCAAAAAUGUUGAGCAAGGUUAUAAAGUAAUGACUUUUCAAAUAAGUUACAUUAUGUUGGCUGACAAUUUGUUAGCUAUGCUAUCCUUACGAAACGCAUAGCAUUACAGCAGUAUGUACCAGUAUGUUUGCUAGUUACUUAAUGUUUGUUGGCUACUAAUACAUCAAAAUUGUCAGGCAGUAUAUUAACUAAUCUGCUAUUUAACUACCUACCCAACGUUUAUUGACUUGAUUAUUCACAUCAUUCUUAGCUAAGUGGUAUAGUUGUUGUGCGUUUCAAUGGACAUUGUUAAUUCUGGCUAUCUACUCCGAUUUCAGAGCACUCUCGCACAGAAUAACUCAACACCUGUUGAAUGUGGCCGUUGCCAGUAAACGUUGGCAAAGAAAAAGCGUCCUUAAAUUGGUGCCAGCAGCACAGUUACAGUCACCAAGGCUCUGAAUAACAUGAACAGCCUAACCAGCUAUGCUAGGGCAAGUAAAAUGAUCAGAGUGAGGUGUUACUCAUUUGUUAUGCUAACAAGCUAGCAAGAGGUUGCAUAGCAACAGCAUCAACAUCCGGUAGACAGGCGAAGCUCUAGUACUCUCAACUGAAACGAUACCUUUCGCUUACAGUAUACUCAAAUUAACUAAUAGCAGUGGUGUAAAAUACUACUAAAGUACUACUUAAGUAGUGUCUGUUCUUUACUAUUUAUAUUUUUGACAACUAUUACUUCACCAUAUUCCUAAAUAAAAUUAUGUACUUUUUACUCCAUACAAUUCCCUGACACCCAAAAGUACUUGUUACAUUUUGAAUGCUUAGCAGGACAGGAAAAUGGUCUAAUUCACACUUAUCAAGAGGACAUCCCUGGUCAUCCCUACUACAUCUGAUCUGGCAGACUCACUAAACACAUUCGUCGUUUGUAAAUGAUGUCUGAGUGUUGGAGCGUGCCCCUGACUAUCCAUAAAUAAAACAAUAAUAUGGUGGUGUCUGGUUUUCUUAAUAUUAGGAAUUUGAAAUGAUUUAUACUUUUAGUUUUGAUACUUAAGUUUAUUUAAAACCAAAUACUUUGACUUUUACUCUAGGUAACUCUCACUUUUACUUGAGUAAUUACUCUUUAGUUAUGUAGUAUACAGUAUGUUAGUAUGGGUAUUAGAAGACAGCUCAAAAUAGUCCGAAUUAAUCUAAAAUAUCUCAAGAAAUCUGUCAAAUGUUUACGUUUUUGCCGAAGAGAUAUUAGUCGCGCAAUUCUACAUCUAACUAAGAUGUUUGGUGCAGUAUUUUUCAAUGAGAAAAUGUGCAUGAAAACUAGUCGUCUUUCAUAGAAUGACAAAAGACUUCCCUACUGUUGACCAAUCACCGACAAGGGGCGUAGACUUUGACUCCGAACUUCGACUUGUGUGAACAGCCGAGAAAACCCUCACCGAUGUCCAAAACGAACAAAAACGUCAUAAUAUAUGCACAAACUCUACCGAACUGAUUUAUUACUGUUACCAGUAAUAAUGAAUCUCCAUGGAGGCUAAAUAUGCUAACAUGUGCAAACAAAAAUAAACUAAUUGCAAAGACAGUCAAUCCAGCUCAAAAAGGAGAAAAAAAUGCAAGGAAAACAAAAGAUAGCAGUGGCAGCUGUACAGAUAACUCAACCAAAGGGCUUUGACUUCUCAAACAGAAAGUUUACACAAUUCACUAAGCAAAACAUUAAGAAAUAUAGCUGGCUACAUUCUAUCUAUGAUAAACAGACAUUUUUUUUUAAAGACCUUGCUUUUUCAUUGUAAGCU